Scomber scombrus (Atlantic mackerel) is the source of this 1490-nucleotide long non-coding RNA. RefSeq lists it as uncharacterized. The record is from RefSeq and is a predicted model, not a curated record. The transcript has 2 exons. NCBI's taxonomy places the organism in Eukaryota, Metazoa, Chordata, Actinopteri, Scombriformes, Scombridae.
UCUAGUUGUACUCUAGUUGCGAAUUGUUUUGACCCGUAUGGGGGUUUUUCAUUAUACAGUUCUAACACUACUCGGCCACUGGGAGACAGUUCAGUCUCCCAGUGGCAUUUGAUGUGAACCAGCACAACAAACUGCUCUACCAGGAGAAGACACUGCAGGAUGUGACAGGAAAGUACAGUCUGGGCGUGAAAGGAACGGCAUGUGCUGCAAUGCAGGUCAGUAUACACAUAGUAUUAGUAUUUUUAGGUCCUUUUCUUACUCUAAAUAUUGAUAUUCUUGUUCACUUUUUGUGAAUAUUAAUUCUUCCUUGUCUAUCGGUUUGACAGAUUUCUCUUCUUUAUAGCAUCCCAAUUCCUGGGAAUAUAACUGCUCUCAGUGUUGAGGUAAAACCAGAGGCCAACUGCACCAUCAAAUCCACCAGACCUAAACUCACUCUGAAGAUAAAAUCUUUUUAAGUGAUGAUCAAAAACCAGGUCCACAAUGCAUAAAUGCAUCAAGUCAAGAGGUAAUUCUCCAAAUUGAAGCUGAUCGAGGCCCAGCUUAGAAAAAGAUACGGAGAGAAAUGCUCUCAGAUCUUCUGUUGUCCAUUCAGAGGGACAUCCCAGUUUACCUUAAUGAAUUCAUAAAUACUUACAAAGUCAUGGCCAAAAGAAUUCUCUACUUAUUUUACCCAUCUUGUUUGACAAGACUGCUCAAAACAGCUAAUUCUAAAGAUGUUGUUAACAAAGCCUCGUCUGUGCAUAAAACUAGUACAACUCAGUGGACCAGGAAGUGAUAUCUGACUGUGUAUCACAUUUUUUAUGCUUCCAUUACAGUUAUAGUGGGAAGGAGACCAAUACCAACAUGGUGAUCCUGGACAUCAGGAUGUCCAGGAUCUGGAGGUAACUUAUUACUGUAGUUUUAACUUGUAAUAUUUGUGUCAGGUGUUGACAUCAUGGUAACCCAGCUGAAUAUCAUGUCCUCACAGAUCAAAGGUGCUCUGCUGGUGGAUAAUGUUGAACAAAAGGAAGAUCAUGUUCUUUUGUAUAUACGGGAGUUACUGAAGGACAUAGCCAUCAACCACAGAUUAAAGCUCAUGCAGGAGAUCCCAGUGCAGAACCUGAAGCCAGCCGUGAUCAAGAUCUAUGACUACUACUAGCCAAGUAAAUUGCACACUCAGUCCUCUCAUAUACAGUGUUUCACGCAGGUCAAAUCUUCACAGUAUUUGUAUUUUAUUUUAGAUAGAAAUGCCUGAAAGUUGCAAUACAUACAUUCAGUCACUAGAUGUCCCACUAUAACACCAGUGUCCCAGACCAAGACAAAUGUGUGCAUCAUUUUCUCAAUAAUAAUAAUAAUACACUUAAAAACAUUUCUUCUAAACUAUAUGAUAUGAUUGCAGUCAAGCUCAUGUUCCACAAUGGCAGAAUUUUUGGACAUAUUUCCAUGAUGAAGUUUCUCCCCAAAGCUGUUUCAACACACCAGUGUAAAAAGAUAAAAGUCAUUUGAUGAGA